Molecule: ribosomal RNA, 427 nt
Filed under: uncultured bacterium
Lineage: Bacteria
Description: partial 16S ribosomal RNA
Rfam family: Bacterial small subunit ribosomal RNA
Source: RNAcentral
GUGGGGAAUAUUGGGCAAUGGGGGAAACCCUGACCCAGCGACGCCGCGUGAGGGAAGAAGGCCUUAGGGUCGUAAACCUCUGUUGUGUGGGAAGAAGAGCGUGACGGUACCACACGAGGAAGUCCCGGCUAACUACGUGCCAGCAGCCGCGGUAAUACGUAGGGGACGAGCGUUGUCCGGAUUUACUGGGCGUAAAGGGCGCGUAGGCGGUCAUUUAAGUCAGCUGUGAAAUGGUUUGGCUUAACCGGAUCAUGCGGUUGAAACUGGAUGACUGGAGUGCUGGAGAGGCAAGUGGAAUUCCCAGUGUAGCGGUGAAAUGCGUAGAUAUUGGGAAGAACACCGGUGGCGAAGGCGACUUGCUGGCCAGCAACUGACGCUGAGGCACGAAAGCCAGGGGAGCAAACGGGAUUAGAAACCCGGGUAGUCC